CUUUGCUGCAGAUUGCCUAGCAUUCAAGUGCUGGAGUCUUCCUGAGCAGAUGGAAAGUUUGAACUCUUAAGAAAAAAUGUACAAAUACAUCAAAGAUAAACAAGCUGGAGGCUUGCCUUAGGCAGGAAGGAUGCAUAGAUGAUAAUGGGACUCUAUGGAAGGAAAGUGAACACUGGAGGAAGGAAGACUGCAUUAGCUGUAGCUGUAAGGACCUGGCUGAGGAGAUAUAAAAAUCUUUUGAACAUCCUCUGUACAAAAUCAUCCUCUAGUCUUAGAAAUUAAAUAGUCCUUGCAUCCUCCAUGCAUCUCUGUACACCUCAAAAACACCAGCUUCCAAGACUUGCUUGUGUGGAAUGUCUUAAAGAUCACGGGUCCCAUGUCUUCAUGUUUCUUUCAUAUACAUGAGGAGAUGAAACUACUGUAUCCCAGCAGAAUUGCUCAUAUACCAUUAUUAAGUAGGGGACUUCUGUAAGAUACAGAAGAGUUUCUAAUUAAGAGUGUUAGUUGUCCAUCUUGUUUGAAUGUUUUUGAAAGUUAUCUAAAUAAUUUCUAUGUGCCUUGUUGGACCUUUGGCUUCAAUACCGGUUGGCUUAAGAUUUUUUUACUGUAAACCAUAAAGAUUCAUCAUUUUCUAUUUUGUU
Molecule: long non-coding RNA, 641 nt
Organism: Dromaius novaehollandiae (emu)
Lineage: Eukaryota; Metazoa; Chordata; Aves; Casuariiformes; Dromaiidae
Exons: 3
Source: RefSeq, a predicted model, not a curated record